AAGGAGCUCCUUCCGUUCGAAAAUACUUGUCAUCAAAAUGGACAAAAAGAGAUGUAUCUAGAACUAAAAUACAUCUAGAUACAUCCUCUUUUAUUUAUUUUGAUGACAACUAUUUCCGGACGGAGGGAGUAAUAU
Molecule: non-coding RNA, 135 nt
Organism: Triticum aestivum (bread wheat)
Lineage: Eukaryota; Viridiplantae; Streptophyta; Magnoliopsida; Poales; Poaceae
Source: Rfam